UGGGGAAUAUUGGACAAUGGGCGCAAGCCUGAUCCAGCCAUGCCGCGUGAGUGAUGAAGGCCUUAGGGUUGUAAAGCUCUUUCGCCGACGAAGAUAAUGACGGUAGUCGGAGAAGAAGCCCCGGCUAACUUCGUGCCAGCAGCCGCGGUAAUACGAAGGGGGCUAGCGUUGUUCGGAAUCACUGGGCGUAAAGCGCACGUAGGCGGAUUGUUAAGUCAGGGGUGAAAGCCUGGAGCUCAACUCCAGAACUGCCCUUGAUACUGGCAAUCUCGAGUCCGGAAGAGGUAAGUGGAACUGCGAGUGUAGAGGUGAAAUUCGUAGAUAUUCGCAAGAACACCAGUGGCGAAGGCGGCUUACUGGUCCGGUACUGACGCUGAGGUGCGAAAAGCGUGGGGAGCAAAACAGGAUUAGAUACCCUGGUAGUCCACGCCGUAAACGAUGGAGGCUAGCCGUUGGCGAGCAUGCUCGUCAGUGGCGCAGCUAACGCAUUAAGCCUCCCGCCUGGGGAGUACGGUCGCAAGAUU
This 524-nucleotide ribosomal RNA is filed under the name uncultured bacterium. RNAcentral describes it as "partial 16S ribosomal RNA". It matches the Rfam family "Bacterial small subunit ribosomal RNA", at positions 355 to 895 of the family's 1533-position model. The record is from RNAcentral.